UACGGGAGGCAGCAGUGGGGAAUAUUGCACAAUGGGCGCAAGCCUGAUGCAGCCAUGCCGCGUGUAUGAAGAAGGCCUUCGGGUUGUAAAGUACUUUCAGUCGUGAGGAAGGUGUUAAGGUUAAUAACCUUAGCAAUUGACGUUAGCGACAGAAGAAGCACCGGCUAACUCCGUGCCAGCAGCCGCGGUAAUACGGAGGGUGCGAGCGUUAAUCGGAAUUACUGGGCGUAAAGGGCACGCAGGCGGUUAAUUAAGUUGGAUGUGAAAUCCCCGGGCUUAACCUGGGAAUGGCAUUCAAGACUGGUUAGCUAGAGUCUUGUAGAGGGGGUAGAAUUCCAUGUGUAGCGGUGAAAUGCGUAGAGAUGUGGAGGAAUACCGGUGGCGAAGGCGGCCCCUGGACAAAGACUGACGCUCAUGUGCGAAGCGUGGGGAGCAAACGAGGGAUUAGAUACC
RNAcentral lists this ribosomal RNA (453 nucleotides) under uncultured bacterium. Its description in RNAcentral is "bacterial SSU rRNA". It matches the Rfam family "Bacterial small subunit ribosomal RNA", at positions 340 to 786 of the family's 1533-position model. The record is from RNAcentral.